RNAcentral lists this ribosomal RNA (578 nucleotides) under uncultured bacterium. RNAcentral's name for it is "bacterial SSU rRNA". It matches the Rfam family "Bacterial small subunit ribosomal RNA", at positions 338 to 916 of the family's 1533-position model. The record is from RNAcentral.
CCUACGGGAGGCAGCAGUAAGGAAUAUUGGUCAAUGGACGCAAGUCUGAUCCAGCCAUGCCGCGUGAAGGAUGACGGCCCUAUGGGUUGUAAACUUCUUUUGUAUGGGAAAAAACCCUUCUACGUGUAGAAGGCUGAUGGUACCAUAAGAAUAAGGAUCGGCUAACUCCGUGCCAGCAGCCGCGGUAAUACGGAGGAUCCAAGCGUUAUCCGGAUUCAUUGGGUUUAAAGGGUGCGUAGGCGGAAUGAUAAGUCAGUGGUGAAAUCCUGCAGCUUAACUGCAGAACUGCCAUUGAUACUGUCAAUCUUGAGUAUAUUUGAUGUGGGCGGAAUGUGUCAUGUAGCGGUGAAAUGCUUAGAUAUGACACAGAACACCGAUUGCGAAGGCAGCUCACAAAACUAUAACUGACGCUGAGGCACGAAAGCGUGGGUAUCAAACAGGAUUAGAUACCCUGGUAGUCCACGCUGUAAACUAUGAUUACUCGAUGUUUGCGAUACACUGUAAGCGUCUAAGCGAAAGCGAUAAGUAAUCCACCUGGGGAGUACGCUCGCAAGAGUGAAACUCAAAGGAAUUGACGG